RNAcentral lists this ribosomal RNA (567 nucleotides) under uncultured bacterium. RNAcentral's name for it is "partial 16S ribosomal RNA". It matches the Rfam family "Bacterial small subunit ribosomal RNA", at positions 355 to 912 of the family's 1533-position model. The record is from RNAcentral.
UGGGGAAUUUUGGACAAUGGGCGAAAGCCUGAUCCAGCAAUGCCGCGUGUGUGAAGAAGGCCUUCGGGUUGUAAAGCACUUUUGUCCGGAAAGAAAUCCUUGGCUCUAAUACAGUCGGGGGAUGACGGUACCGGAAGAAUAAGCACCGGCUAACUACGUGCCAGCAGCCGCGGUAAUACGUAGGGUGCAAGCGUUAAUCGGAAUUACUGGGCGUAAAGCGUGCGCAGGCGGUUUGCUAAGACCGAUGUGAAAUCCCCGGGCUCAACCUGGGAACUGCAUUGGUGACUGGCAGGCUAGAGGUAUGGCAGAGGGGGGUUAGAAUUCCACGUGUAGCAGUGAAAAUGCGUAGAGAUGUGGAGGAAUACCGAUGGCGAAGGCAGCCCCCUGGGCCAAUACUGACGCUCAUGCACGAAAGCGUGGGGAGCAAACAGGAUUAGAUACCCUGGUAGUCCACGCCCUAAACGAUGUCAACUAGUUGUUGGGGAUUCAUUCCUUAGUAACGUAGCUAACGCGUGAAGUUGACCAGCCUGGGGAGUACGGUCGCAAGAUUAAAACUUAAAGGAAUUG